RNAcentral lists this unclassified non-coding RNA (223 nucleotides) under plant metagenome. RNAcentral describes it as "partial contains small subunit ribosomal RNA, internal transcribed spacer 1, and 5.8S ribosomal RNA". The record is from RNAcentral.
UUUCCGUAGGUGAACCUGCGGAAGGAUCAUUAAAGAGAAUAUGCCCUUCGGGGUAGAUCUCCCACCCUUUGUUUAUAUUACCUUUGUUGCUUUGGCAGGCCCGUCUUCGGACCACCGGCUUCGGCUGGUAAGCGCCCGCCAGAGGACCCAAAAUCCUGAAUAUUAGUGUCGUCUGAGUACUAUAUAAUAGUUAAAACUUUCAACAACGGAUCUCUUGGUUCUG